UAGUGCUGCACACCUACCAAAAUGUGAUAAAACUGCUAUUUUUAAAAAAAUGUUUGUAUAUAUAUAUAAUUAUUAUACCAACAUAGAGAGUAGUAACUGUGAUGAUUGGUUGUUUUCUGCUUUGAUUUUCUUAUUGGUUCCUGCUCCUAAUUACACCAGUGAUGAUCCUGAUGAAUCCCUGGGCUUUAAGUGUCUCCAGACGAGUUGGUCUUCGCUGAUGCAUCACACCGUUUUUGGUUUUGCCUGCCCAGGGUUGUUACCUCAAGGAACCUAAAGAAAAUCAAGGAACCUGGCCACUCUGCCUGAAGAUCUCUGUUGCUCUGUGGAUCAUUCCUUCUUACCAGGACUGACUCGUCCACAGAAACCUGUAAGAAAAGAAGGAAAGCAUAUCUCACUAAACUACUGAAGGAACUAUUGUGUUUAAAGAAGACUCACCUGGACACUUCCCCUUUUUUACAGAUCUGUCAGAAUACAYUCAUUCCACUCUUGUAAAUAAAAUCACUUACCUUUUUU
Long non-coding RNA from Austrofundulus limnaeus, 513 nucleotides. RefSeq lists it as uncharacterized. The record is from RefSeq and is a predicted model, not a curated record. The transcript is spliced from 2 exons. Lineage: Eukaryota; Metazoa; Chordata; Actinopteri; Cyprinodontiformes; Rivulidae.